RNAcentral lists this non-coding RNA (117 nucleotides) under Paramoeba aestuarina. Lineage: Eukaryota; Discosea; Flabellinia; Dactylopodida; Paramoebidae. The record is from RNAcentral.
UAUCUGGUUCUUCUUCUUUUUCUUUGCCUUUGUCUCCUUUAUUUUCUCUUUCUUUUUGUUUCUCGUUUUGGAUGGGGUUAUUGUCGGAAAUGGACAGGGCGGGGAUAAUAGGCCGAG